GACGAUGCUAUCAUGGCGAAUAAGUUUUGAAUCGCUUAUUGUUUGAGUUAAAACGAGCCUGAAAUUAGCAUAUGCAAAAUGCCAGUGCAAUUUAAGGUACAAGGAAGAAUUGUUUACAAUAUUUAAAAUUGGAUGCAAUUUGUAUUUUACAAUAAUGAAGCUGAAAUUGAGAGAUUAUCUCGAAUAUGCUGAAAUGUCACGGUAGUUGAAAUAAGAAAACAAUAACAAUCACUGUUUGGAAACUAUUUAAAUUAUACUAAGUAAAUGAACAUAAGUUUUAUCGAUAAAUCUUUAGUUAUCACAGUUUCUCAAAUUUUUAAUGCCUCUGCAAAGAUCAUAGGUUACCGGUUAAAUCUGAAAAGUAUGAGAAAUAAAUAAAAAAACAUGUCCAGACAAAUUCAUUUCUAGCGGUAACAUGACUUGAUUUUAAGUUCAGUAAUAAGAUUAAAUUUCAAAGAUGCGGAUGAAAAAGUUUGUGAGUAUAUUUUUUAAAUCAAUUUCUAAAUUAUCAAACAUUGUUUUUCUUUAUAAUGCAACUUUGUGUGAUAUUCAAAAGAUUACUCCAGCUUCCCCAAUUUAUCAUGUGUGAAAUGAACAGAUGAACAUUCACAAAAUAUUAAUAUCCAGAAUAAACACAACGAGAAAUGACAUAAACAUUAAAGUUGUUUAUGUACAUUUUAUUGUUGGUAUUCAAUAAAAAAAACCAUACACAACAUGCACUCAACAGAAAAGUUAUAAAAAGGGAAUUUGAUUAAAAAUGCUGAAUGAUCUAGAUCUUUUUCCAGGGAACAUCAGAAUAUGUCAAGGAGUAUAAGUGGCUUGACUCUUUCAAAAGUAAUAGAUUUGUACCAACACCAGAACAGGAUGCUCCAGUGGCUGGUUUAUCAUCAGCAGAGCUAGGUUUUGAAAGUGU
This 913-nucleotide long non-coding RNA is filed under the name Mytilus galloprovincialis (Mediterranean mussel). Lineage: Eukaryota; Metazoa; Mollusca; Bivalvia; Mytilida; Mytilidae. The record is from RNAcentral.